This 338-nucleotide ribosomal RNA is filed under the name uncultured Chitinophagaceae bacterium. Its description in RNAcentral is "bacterial SSU rRNA". It matches the Rfam family "Bacterial small subunit ribosomal RNA", at positions 20 to 352 of the family's 1533-position model. The record is from RNAcentral. Lineage: Bacteria; Pseudomonadati; Bacteroidota; Chitinophagia; Chitinophagales; Chitinophagaceae.
UGGCUCAGAACGAACGCUGGCGGCAGGCUUAAUACAUGCAAGUCGAGGGGCAGCGCAGUGUAGCAAUACAUGGGCGGCGACCGGCAAACGGGUGCGGAACAACACGUACGCACCUUUCCUUAAGUGAGGAUAGCUUCCGGAAACGGAAAUUAAUACCUCGUAACAUCGUUGAGUGGCAUCACUUGAUGAUUAUAGCUCCGGCGCUUAAAGAUGGGCGUGCGCCUGAUUAGGUAGUUGGCGGAGUAACAGCCCACCAAGCCUAGGAUCAGUAACUGGUGUGAGAGCACGACCAGUCACACGGGCACUGUUACACGGGCCCGAGACCUACGGGAGGCAGC